Molecule: long non-coding RNA, 3193 nt
Filed under: Sus scrofa (pig)
Lineage: Eukaryota; Metazoa; Chordata; Mammalia; Artiodactyla; Suidae
Description: lncRNA (ENSSSCG00000058976.1)
Source: RNAcentral
GGACCUCCACAGCCAUGGGUGCGGCCCUAAAAAAGACCAAAAAAAAGGUGAACAAAUGCAGUUCUGACACAUCCUACAACACGGAUGACCCUUGAAGACACUCAUAAGCCAGACACAAAGCAGAAGCAAAUAUUGUCUGAUUCCACUUAGGUACGAUAGCGCUCAAAUCUGAGACAGUGAGCGAAACAGGCUACCACGGGCUGAGGGGCACAAAUGGGAGGGCGUUUAAUGGGCACAGCCCUUCCGUUUGGGAAGGAGAAGAGCUCCGGGGGUGCAGGUGGUGACGGCCGCCCAGCAGUGCGGAUGUGCUUCCUGCCACCGAGCGGUGGAGAAAAACACGUCAUGUGAUCGGUUUUGUUCUGAGCACUUUAGCACAAUUACAAACACGCGCAAAGGACUUGGGCAGACGUGUCUCCCAGACAACCAAGCAACCGACACACGAAGAGAUGCUCAACAUCACUGCCCACCAAGAAAACGCAAACUAAAACCACGAGGAGCCACUGCACACCUACCAGGAUGGUGUGGAUUUGGAAAAAAAGAAGAUAAAGGGAUGCGGGGAAACAGGAGCCUCGGCACCACUGGCGGGCAAGUGAAAGAGCGCAGCGGCCACGGACGGUAGCUCGGGCCCCUCCCAAGUUGGAAGGAGUUACCGCACGGCCCGCAAGCCCACGCCUCGGUGCACGACGUCUGCGGCAGCGCCGCCCCGGCCGCCGAGACAAGCGACGCCGGCGCCCACCCCGCGCGUGGGAGCGGACCACCGGACGAGGCCCCUCCGUGCAGAACACCCUUGGGCCCGCAGAGCAGGGCCGCCCGACCCGGGCUGCGGCUCGAGCUGAGGAAGCCGGCGGUCCCUGCCUGCGGCGGAACGGCUUCCAGCCGACAUGUCCAGAAGAGGCCGAUCCACGGACGGGACAGCCCGUCCCGUGCCCAGGACAGGGAGGGGGCUUGGGGGAGCGGCCGUGGCUUCCCCGGGGCACGCGGUCAUCUGGGCUGAAGAAGUCCUGGCGCUGGAGGAGGGGGCAGCCGCCGCCUGUGAAGACACACGAGCGGGUCUGCAUCUCACCCCCAAAGGAAUCAGAUCCCGCCAAGAGCUUGCGCCACGGCGUUCACGGCAGCACUGCGUGUCGUCGCCCAGAUCUGGAAACACUCCAAGUGUCCUUCCGUGGUGGACGGACGGACAAGCCGUGACACGAAAGCCCUCAAAGGAGGAACGAGUGAGCCACGGGGGCGCCUUGGGCGGGACGCUGAGACACCAAACGCAGCCUCGGCCCAGGCCGAACUGUCUGGCAAAGAUGCGGGAGUCCCAGGUGCUAGCGCCGGACGGAGGCCAGUGUUGGGGGGGCCGGGGGCCGCGGGUGGCAUCUGGCUCGGUGGCCUUGACGGGCUGUGCAGCAGUGGGACUGUGCCCCGGACGCCGGUCCACCUGGGACGGCGGCUUCGGAUGCGGUUCACACGCCAGCCGGCCAGCUCUGGAGACCCGAGCGGCUGCUUCUUCGGCCGCUGGCUUUGCAAGGAGGGGGCAUCACCUCCUUCCAGGCCCAGGCCCCGUCCAGCACACAGGCCGCUCACGGGAGUCGGGCUGCACCGAGGUCCUGGUGGCCUCCACGCCUCCCUUGGGACACUUUCAGGCCUUGGAAGACUGCCCCGCGGGACACGUGCUUGGCCGUCAGGUCAGUACGACGUUUAAUAGGAAACCGUGCUUUUCACGGGAAGAGCUUCGGGACGGUGUAACGAGUCAGCUCUUGCCUCGGCAUCAGAAAAGCAACUUGGUUUUGGUCUCAAGUCUGAGAGCAGAAACCCUGUCCAUUCCUGUAUUUGAAUCAAUCACGUAGCCUGAUUCGUGGCUUGUUUUCGCUCACAGGACAGGACGGCCUUGGUCGCCAUGGGCACAAUGGCUGUAAGCGCCUGCUGGCAGGAGCCCGUGUCCCGGGCAGGAGCCACACGUCUGCUCUGAUGUCCCCAGGACACCCUCCUCCGCAGGUUCCGGCCAGAGCUAGACCGUGAUGGGGGCCACCUGCCCAGGAGCGGCAACACGUGCUCAUCCGCCGCCCGGGAGGCCUCGCUCAGCGACAGGACCCCGGCCGGUGGCCCGGAGGAGAACAACAGGACAUGCCGCCCCAUCCGUGGGCAGCUCAGUCAGAGCAAAGGUCUGGGCGAGAACAGCCUCCGGGGGCUUCUCUCAGGUCGAGCUUCACACCCACGUCGGAGUUCCUGCUGUGGCACAGGGGCUUAAGGGAUCUGGUGGUGUCACUGCCGUGGCACAGGUUCAAUCCCUGGCCCGGGAACUUCCAUACGCUGUGGGUGCAGCCUUAAAAAUACAGUAAAAAUUAAAACCAUGUUCCACUAGUCCUCAGUUCUUGAGGACAUGUGCUUUUGUUAAAAUCCACUCUGUCUCCAUCUAGCAAAUAGUUUUAAAAUUAACACCAAAACAACUGACCUGAUAUCCAUGAGCCACAUGUGGCGAUGACACUGCAGAAUGGCAGACGAGCGUCUCUUCCGCACGCGGGCGAGCACACACACGCACUCCCACACGUGCACCGGCAGGUCGAGUUCACGAUGACUAGUAACCGAGGAGAGCGGCCCACGUGCGCAGGCCGGGCAGGGGUCAGCGCAGGAUGCGGGCUGGCCGGACACUCGGCGGUGUGGUUCAGACGUGAUGGAGGCAGGGACAUGAUGGAGGCAGAAACCCACGCCUGUCCCCGCCAGCGGCGGGAAGCCCUCCGCUCAGCGCCCACGCCUCGCUCGCCGCGCUUUCAUCCUGGGCGGAUGGGUCGGGGGGCGCGAGGGGCCUACACUCUUUAUAAAGCAGAACAAUCUACACUCUUCAGAGAAACACACCAGAUUCUGGAAUAUCUAAAGUCCACCAACACGGUGUCUAGGCUACAACCCUGAAGUAGCAGACGCACGAGGUAGGGGGACGCUUACUCGGAAUAAAAGAACAUUAAUGGAGGACUUCCCGUCGUGGCGCAGUGGUUAACGACUCCGACUAGGAACGUGGGGUUGCGGGUUCGAUCCCGGCCUUGCUCAGUGGGUGAAGGAUCUGGCGUUGCCGUGAGCUGUGGGGUAGAUCGCAGAUGCGGCUCGGAUCCUGUGUUGCCGUGGCUGUGGUGGAGGCCGGCGGCUGCAGCUCCGAUUGGACCCUAGCCUGGGAACCUCCAUAUGCCACGAGAGUGGCCCUAGAAAAGACAAAAAG